GCCGUGACUCAGUGGGGGAGCAUCUGCUUGGCGUGCGGAAGGUCUCAAGUUCAAUCCCUGGCAUCUCCA
This 69-nucleotide transfer RNA is filed under the name Sphaerodactylus townsendi. Its description in RNAcentral is "tRNA-Ala". Lineage: Eukaryota; Metazoa; Chordata; Lepidosauria; Squamata; Sphaerodactylidae. The record is from RNAcentral.